Olea europaea var. sylvestris is the source of this 1752-nucleotide long non-coding RNA. RefSeq lists it as uncharacterized. The transcript has 5 exons. The record is from RefSeq and is a predicted model, not a curated record. Lineage: Eukaryota; Viridiplantae; Streptophyta; Magnoliopsida; Lamiales; Oleaceae.
UCCAAUCGACCCACACAAGUCCACCAUUCCUAAUGGCCCAAAUAACUCAAUCCUCUAAUAAUCCGGUUUAGGUUCGAACAGCAUAAACUUCAUCCCCAAUUCCCAUCCAAGACUCUAUAGAACUCAUUCCAAAUCUACCGAUCACUGUGAGUCUGCCAGUCUCUUCAAGUCGUCGACGCCACUAGAAGCCUUCAAGUUCGACAGUGCCACUGGAAUCGGCUCCCUUACGUCCCUGACUCUCUGCUCGCGCAAUGAUCCGUUGUUCUAACUUUCUAAGGUACUACAAGUAAUGCUAGAGCUAUCUUAGUCUUGGGUAGAGAUCUAAUGGUGGUUCCAAAACUAAUUCAUCCAUUGUCACCGGCAAUUUCAUCUCCUCAGACCUCACCUAAACACCAAAUAGACGACACAUGGAUGCAAGAUCUCAAUGUUAACAGACCACCUACACCAACUAGGGGUCUUCCUCAAGUGACUAAUGAUAGAGAUUCUCUUGCUUGGAUUUAGAUUUUGUCUCCUAAAUUGCUUUAUCGUACUCCGGGUUGAUGCUUUCACUCCAAAAUUUUCAUGAUCUGUACGUAGCGUUGACCUCGAGAAUUGGACCCUCCACGUGGCCAACGGGUAGCUACUCCAUGUAAUCCUCUCUGCGCACAACAACGCAUGGUCAGAAGCAUACGGUCGAAACUAGGGGUGGUGGUGACGACCACAUACACUCGGACGGUCAAGUCAGCAUUGGGUGAUCGGAACAGUGCUCCAGUUAUACAAGAGAGUGGGGAUGAUAAUAUAUAUUUCUUAGUAUAGAGAGUUAAGUUAUAAGAGUUUCAUUAUCUUUGUCUCUUGCUAGACCUUGGUAUUUAUAAAGGUAGAACACCGCUGGAUGUGGGACACAUGUAUGCAUCUGACGGUGUGAGGCAUCUGCUCAUAGGCAUCAAUCAGCCACGUCUAGAGUGGGCGGACAAUUAGUUCUUCUGAGUUUGGUUAACAUAAGGUUGAUAAGUCACAUCAACUAGACUUAUGGAGACGUCACAUCAAUUGAUCUUUGGAGGCAGAGGGGAUCUUGACAGAUAUCUUUUUGACAGUGGCGGCGAAGGGAUCUGUUAAGGGAGUGUCUCGAAGUGCUCAAUGCUUCGGAGUUGAGGGAUACUUCAGUUGCUUCAGUGGAUAUACUCUUCACCCUGCAAUGCGCCAUGUUGAGGUCGUUAGGAGUGGGCAUCACUUCGGAACCACUUCGGGUGAACAUGUGGAACUUCGGGGAGUGGUGUCUGUUGUUCUGAAGUGGUUUAGUUAGGGGUGUAACACAUAGCUUGAUUCCAUGUCGAGGAUUCUGCAGAGAUAAGUUAUUCACUCUUAGAAAUAUAAAGGCUCUUUGCUUUCACUGGAGUGCGUUCAGAAGAUAAAGAGGAAGAGUUUGAACAUGUUGCAGGCGGCUAGUUGUAGUCUACAUUUAUUGUGCUGAAAGCAAUUCAAGAUUUCCCAAAAGCUCUACAUGAUCCAUAACAGACUAUAGAUCUUUAGUCAGUUUCUACGGUUCUCGACCUUGCAAUAUGAUAAAGUGUUACAAGAAACGCCAUUGGAAGAGAUGCUGGCCAACGUGGAUGAACUUAUGUUCUUGAAUAAUUUAUGACGUUUGGCCAAAGAGCAGUAUUAGACUUAUUCGAUGAAGGUUGAUAUACUUGGGGAAACAAGACAUGAUUAUAUCUCAUUUUCCUCGUAAGUAAAACCAAGCAGAGCUCCUACAUUUGUACAGGGCAGAGCGAA